Molecule: long non-coding RNA, 4551 nt
Organism: Cephus cinctus (wheat stem sawfly)
Lineage: Eukaryota; Metazoa; Arthropoda; Insecta; Hymenoptera; Cephidae
Exons: 8
Source: RefSeq, a predicted model, not a curated record
UGAGAGUCCUAAGUGAGCAAAGUAGGUAGUUCCACGCUACUCAAUUGUUCGGACCCUCCAGGGCACGCUACUUUUUCUACAAGCCCACUACGUGGUUAGGCCAACUUAACUAUGUGGGAUCUCGUCCUAACCUCUCCCACAUCAUUUUGAAUGAAUCUCCAGCAGAAUCGGUACUUCAGCUCCAUUAUGUUGCAGGCUUGGCCCAACCGGCGAACAUUCAGAAGUGUCCAUUGUCGAUAGUAUUUAUUCUCAGUUACGAAGGACGUGUCUACGAGAGGCUAUAUUCGAUUUUACAGUUUUAUAGGGAUUUUCUUACUGGAUGAGGAUCAAAGGGAUAUACAUGGGUACCAGCCACUAGGACUAUUGUUGAGUUCUAAAGGGUCUAUAGUACCUGGUUCUACCUGUUCCUACACAUCCUUGGAAUUAUAUUACUUCGGAGUACCUUUAUUACUCUAAUGAUAAAUUGUUAGGAACCUUCUGGAGCUACAUCCCUGGCGCCUAGCUAGAAUACAGAUAUCAAUCAUUCAAUCGUUAUCAAUGACAGGUCGGAGUCUACUAGAAGUUAAAAACUAGACGGUCAGCAUGAUCCUGGUUGGACUAUAUAAUCUGUUUAGUACUAGACUCUAGGAGAAAUCGUUUGAGGAUGGCAGAUAGAAGAACUUGUUUUCACCAAGAAUAUCGUAAUCUACAAUAACAUGCAAGUAUUGCCGAAUUGAAUGUAUAAACGAUUCGAAGAACGAAGACGAUGGAUAAUGACGUCGUAGCAGUCUAAACAGUGACUCCAGUGUAUACGCAUCUGUACGUAUAGGUCGCGAGACUCUUCGAGGCCAUCCGGCGCAUUCAACGUCUUCCGGGAUAAUUGUCGGGCGCAAUGCAAUAAUUGCGUAAUUCCCAGUGCCCUGCGAGGGGUGCCGUUUCUCUCUAUGAGUGGUAGACGUCGUGCGAAGGGGGUAGUUAGCCAAGUGGGCUGCGCUACUUAUUUUCCAGACACUGAGGCCUGAUUCGACUUCAAGAGAAUGAAGUAAAGUUCAGGGCCGGAGAGGGUCAGGGGUUAAUUCGUUAAGGACGAUACAUCUUUGCAAAAUGCUUGUGCUGGAUUACCGGCAAGGUGUAUUUUCGUCACGGAGAGUUUCGCUUGAGCUGCCAAGGUGGGACAAGAAAUUGAGAAGAGGAGUAUAACAAUGAAUGGCAUUACGUAAGGAUCAAUGGAUCUAAGCUACAUUGGCCUUGACAGUGACUGAGAAGAAUAAAAACAAGGAAUACAGUCAAUGCUCUGGAAAUUCUUGAUUCGGCUUGUUCUCUUUUAUUAUACAUUCACAGAGUAUGCAUCAAGGCUUGUUCAGAGAUCCAAGUCGAAUUUUUGAAAAAUCACAGUAAAACGACCCCAUACGCGGAUUUGUACCCUCCUUUGGAUGAUCAUUGGGUGUAACGCAAGGCAAUGGGGAUCCGCAGGCAAUCCGGACAACAGAACUCGAUACUAAUUGAUUUUACGAGGAAAGUAUAUUAACCGUGAAGAUCGAGCUAUGGUGGUGGGUGCGGAUGACACUCUGCUGAGCGAUGCAUGACGCCCCUAUGCAGGGCCGUACGAUGAAGUCUUUGCAGCCAGGUUACAGUUAUCAAUACCAUGUAAUUUAUAAGUUCUUAAAAAGAUUUACUAAUAAUUUUUCAAAACUCAACUACCUAGGUAUCUGUGGAGUAAUCGAAAAAAGAGCUUCGGUAAUUUCAAGCACGACCUCAAGAAUCUAGGUUAAUAGACUUGGAAUAAUCCGCAAUUAAUAAGACCCUAGAAUGAAGCCGACCCUGUGUAUCCCUCGCUGGCAAAACCUGCAUUGAAUUAUUAUAACCAUCUGCCCACUACCUACUACUCCAGUACGUCCCUUAAGACCUACGCUAACAGAUCAAAGUCCUGUAGCAAAGAGGAAUAGUAAAAGUCAAAUCCCUGGUGGUUUUUCAAAAUGCACAUAACGAUAACAACGAUGGGGUCUUUUGAAACUUUUUUUUUAACACUAAUAAGACGAGUGUUAAAUUCAUUACGUAGUUGUAUAAACAACGGAGUAUCUAUACAGUCGAAGAGAAAAUUGAAAUCCUGGAGAGAAUUUUAUGCCACAAGGUAUCCCUAGACGAUAAUGUACCUGGGCCACAGGCGAUCCUCGUUAGGCAAACUGUUUCGUAUGGAUCAAUGAUCCUCAUUAGGUAAUCAUCUUUUAAUUAACUCGAAGAGGAACGCAGCCAGAUAACCAUGUCCGUCGAUCCGUUAAUGAUUACUCGUUUUACCGGUCGAAGUCUGUGCUUCUUAGUUGCCGUAUGGUUGGCCCAUAUAAUUCGACCGAUAUCUUUAUACAAUGUAGUGAAGGAGUCUUUCCCACGUCUAUGAACUGUCCUGUGCUCUCUUAUCAAUAGGUAUUUCCACACCGGUUUUCAUCCCACUUACACCUGUUACGAAUAGAUAGUCCCUGAUCGUUAUAGGAUUGAUUCAUGAUCUUUACGAUCAUCUCACUGUCGUUAAUGACACUUCCCACGUAGCAUUGAUGACACUUGGUUCUGUAUGAUAUAAUUAUCAAGUCCCAAUUCAUGGUUGGAUGUUGGAUAAGUCCCAAUAUUCUGACCCAGUUUCUUUGUCAUACAGGUCAUACGUACCAUAUGCGUAUUAAAGAUCUCUUUGAUCGUUAUUCCUCUUAAAAUCUGUCUUAUAGGCUUCUUCUUUGGUACUAUUCUCGUAUCUGGCACUUUAUUAUUAUUUCUUAUCGUAGAAAAGGAGUAUUCACAUAGGUCUGAUCGUCGCUCUUGUACUGUAUUGCCUCUGAUCAUUGAUCCAUAGUUCGAUACUGAUAUCUAUAUUUCAUAGAAGAGCUUCCCAUGUCCUGAACCUUGUUCACUCGUAAAGCUUUCUACACACUGAGCGAUAAUUAAUUCAAGAAAAAGUUUCAUAGGGUCAGUGUAAGUAUAGUUAGACUUUGUUUUUACUUUCAAUAGCUUCCUAAGCAAUUGGGUGUUAUGGAUUUCUAUAUCAUAAACACUAAAUUCUAAUUAUAAGGAUUGAGAAGCUGUGUACAUACAUUUUAUUAGCAUGUGCAAUUAUUAAAUUAUGGUAUUAAAUUUCUAUAUGAUAUUAACAACUAUAAUAGCUGCUUGUAACUAUUCGUUAUCGUAGUCUUAUGAAAUGUCUACAGAUCUGACUUGUCUAGAUAAAUGUCUGUGUUCAUUAAGAUACUAGGAAAAAUGUAAAAAAAGGUUCAGUGUGAAUGAAUCCACUAAUUUACCAAGUAUUCUUAAGUUAUUAGGUAUGUGAUAUUUCUUUUUGAUUCCGUAACGGUCCUUUUUCUCUUUCACUUCCUCGUGUUAGACAAAAGAGCAUAGAGUCCCAGCCGAUUUUCUACCUGAAUGAAAAAAGAGAGAAAAAGGAGAAGAAAUGUGGGACUUACCUGCUAACCUCGGAAAUGCCGUGAUGUGUCUUUGUACAAUCGUAUGGUAUACCGCAUGCUUGACUGAACAUUGUUUAACUGCGUUCAUUUUUCACUAGAUUGUGUUAUAGUUGAUAGUAAUGUAUAAGCGGUGAUCAUGAUUAAUCUCUGGAAUAUAACACUCCAAGACAGUACUUUUAAGCAAAAAAAUCUGUUCUGCAGUUUUGUGGCCUCACGUUGUGUAGGAACCUUAAUCCGCGAUUUACGUCGAUGCACUUGCACGUGGCAGUCCUACAAAGCCCAGACCUGUCACCGUUAACGCGAAUAGUUUGAAAAUGUGUUAAAUCAGCAAUACCCAAUGGAUUCUAUAUGGUACAUACAACUAUAGAUACAAUAAGCACAUAUCUAUAGUCAAUUGAACACGUUGGACAUGAAGUGUUAUAAAUACAAAGAUAGAAAUAGCAUAUUCAGGUAUCCAAAUAGAGAGUGUAGAAAAAAAUAGACUUGAAGAAAAAUCAACGACCCUAGCCACAAAGUUUGCAGUAUUACCUGGAACAGGAAAAAAAUUCUCAUGAGUUUGUAACAGACCUGUUAAUCAUCCCAGUUAGUUUCUGCGUGAAUUGACUUGAUAUUUUACCGGGAAAAUAUAUAUCUUUUUUACUCCUCCCUUUUUUUCCCUUUUUUUCUGGUACAGUAAGGGAGGUGAGAAGCGUGGUCCUUCGUUCAGAAUGAAAAUGAAGAUUCUGGAAAGGAUGACAAUAGACCUGACGUUUUCCAGCAAGCUUCAAGGUAAUUGAUAUAUACAAAUCGUCCUGGCAGGGUGGUUAAGGGUAGCAUGGGAUGUCAGACGGUAGUCAGGGGAUGGCCGAAGAACGGUUGUUUGACGGCACCCCGACUGGCCGAGGCAAGUCUGUGGUAUCGCGUUCACACUUGACUGCCCCAGAUUUCGGAUGCUCCCUGCUUCGACGUUGUUUCUUCGGAAAGAAGCAAAAACCACCCUCUUUCGACCUUCCAGUUCUCAUGGAAGCAGUAGCUUAUGCCACCCUGACUAAAGGCACAGGGACGAACCUACUUACCCAGCUAUUAUGUACCACCUGUUUCGCAAGUAACAAUGUCCCUACUUCAGUCUUCGCCGAGGGUUUCCGUCUAC